AGGGAAUUCCCCUUCAGUGGUGUGAUGAGACUGGCAGCCUUUUGAAACAAAGUCCUGCUCACUCUUUUGUAUGCUAAGUCCAGCUGUUGGGCAGUUUGGUUUGGUUUGCAUGUUCAUUUGGAGGCGAUCACUCGGUCUCGCGUGUGCACUGUCCGUAUGUGGGUCUGUUUCUGGAGCUUGUUAUGUAUCUGCGUUGUGUUUGUGGGGUGUGUGCUCAAGUAUUAACUCGGUAAUGCCUUCUAAUGGUAGUGCUAAUUACAGUAGGGUUAUUUAGCAAAUUAAGUGAGACUGUGCACCCCCCUUGAGCACCAAAUGAACUUUUCCAAACACACACGCGCGCACACACACACACUCACACACACACACACACACACACACACACACACACACACACACACACACACGUUAAUUUUGGUAUGUUUCUCUCGCCCAAUCACUUUGCUGGAACUAAAACAUGCCUUACCUCAGAGCAGUCAAUUACCAAAGCUACCCGUGAUCAUCAAUCAUGGGGGAUGCUUGAAGUUUGGGGGAGGAGCGAUGGUCAAACUAUCGAUUGCUGCAGUUUUGUCCUGCCCCCCCCCUUCUCGUUCACGGUCCCCUGCACAUAAAAUCUAAAACAGACUAUCCCGUUAAUAGUGGGAUUUAUCAAUGAUUAUGUACCCAGUUGUGAAUGUGGCCUCAUGCAUAGAUGCCUUUUAAACAUACACCGCAAAAAAAAAAGUAUUUGAUUUAGCCAGGGCUUUUUAUUAUUACUAUUUUAAGAUUUUUGGAAAUUGGAAAAAAAAUGAAUCAAAGGGUAGUUAUAGAAAUUUGGCCAGAUUUUAAUGGGCAUACGGAAUGAGCUCCAGAGGUCAAUAAACCCCUCCAAAAUGAUGAAUGAUUGAGUACCUGUGAUGAUGAUAGUGAUUACCGGAGCAAUUAAACAGUUUGAUUAAAUGAGCCAUCAUAACAAUGAUGUCUGCGGGAAAUCAGCCCUCACAUAUAAAGAAAGAUAGUGUGGAGGGCUGACAACGCCAGUGGGCAUUCCUACGUGUUCCGAUAGUGUUGAGCCCUGCAGAGCAGAGUGUAUUUACAAAUAUGAGGGCAAUAUGGAGAAAAGUCACUCAGAUACUUUUAGCCAGAGUUGCACCCUGCUUAAAAAUCGUCAGAAGCCGAAGAGCAGACCCGUUUUUUUUCCUAGAGGAUCUCCUCCAAGAUUAAAGCUAGCCCUAAGAGCAACCGAUAUUCUGUGGCUGACUUUCACGGGACUGUAAAGAAAAGGGUCCAUGGUUCACUGGUGUAUUGUUAUUCCCUGAAAGGUUUCAGCAAGAUGGUCCAAAAUAACAUCACAGUGUAAAGAAUAGCCUUGCUACAAAAUGACCACCAUAAGAUGGAUGAAGAGGAAUGGCAUGAGACAAGAAAUCUCAGGACAUCACCACAUUCACCAGCAAUUUCAGACUAAGAAAGUCUAGGUAGCUGUAGUCGCUAUGUAUUAUACCAAAACUGUACAUUUUAAAUAGUAAACAAAUAAAUAAAUACAUAGAACGCCCCCCCCCCCCCAAGGCUGUGAUGAUGUCAAAGACCAGGGACAGAGAAUGAAGCCACUUUGCACUUCAGAGCAAACAAUCAUGUUUGCAGUGCCUGGACAUUGCACUGAACUUCCACUUACCAGCUUCCUCUAUUUACAGUCACCAGAUGAAACUCAAAGGGUAAAACACAUCUGUGGUGUAACUUCACCAACUUAAGAGGCAGAGAGAGAGAGAUAGCCCUGUGAGUCUGAAAUUAGGCAGAAGGUGGGGUAGGGUGGCACCCUUAAGACUAACUUGUUCAGAGAGGCUUGAACUUUUGCAGACUACAGCCUACUUCAUCAAAUGCUAUGAAUGGAUUCUGGAAAAGCAGGCUGUAGCCUAUGCUUCUCUGAAUUACUUAGUGUACAAUCCUGCCCAGGCUUCUGCUUGACUUCAACCGAGUUACAGAUUAUGCUAUUAUAAUGAUGUUUGUAAUCAUUUUCAUGCACAAGGUAAAGGAACAAGGGGCUGACUUCUACUAAUCCUGUACAACCUCUGCAGAUCUGUCUGAAAACUCAACUACUAAACAGCAGGAUACUCGCAAUGAUAAUCUGUCUCCAAGUUUUGCAUCUCUUCAGAAAAUCUGUGAUACAUAUUGAAAAUCUUCAGUAUUCUGGGGUUCAAACCUAGGGCAAAAGUCUCAUUGGUUUAAAUACUCCUUUUGCCUCAAUGAGGAAUCCAGGAUAGGCUUCCUUUUACCUGAUCCUUCAGUAGUCUAAGCACAUUCUCCAAAGUGCUGAGCCCUCCCAGUUCCCACUGAUUAAAUUGACCAUGCAGCAUCUUGAGGAAUUCCCCAGCAUCUCAAAAGAUAAGGCCCUUAAUAAUGCUUUCAAUAUUUCUCAUCUUUUUAUGACACUUUUGCAACAGGAUCUCUCAGGUUCUGAAGUACAUUGCACAGACUACUGUUUAAAACUGUUUUUCACCUCUGCCGAAAUAGUUUUUUUUUACUGAUGAAUACUGAUGAAAUAUGAUUAAACAACAAAGUACUAAUAUGUUUCAUAUAAAACAAGUAUAAACACAUAUCAUUACCUCAUAUGCAAUUAUAGACUGUCACUAAUAGUUCUAUUGAUUGGUGGCAUAAAUAGCUCUAAUACAAGCUGUUCUUUAGAAGAGAUAAAUAUAAAUACCAAUGAAAGAGCGUAAGAAGUGUUUGUCCUGUAGUUUUACCUUGAGGCUGUAUUAUGAUCACAAUAAGACAUAUCUAGGCAUGUGUCAUACUGGAUAAUACUAUUUCUUGGGUGUUUGAGGGCACAUGGCUUUACCUUGUACUUCACAACAGCUGAGACAUGCCAUUUAGUCGCAUGAUCCUAGAUCUGCUGGAAAAAAAAUAUUAAGCUAUAAAUAUACCAGAAAGGAAUAUAUUUAUAGUUAGUUAACAUUAAAUACUCCACAACAUUAUAUUUAUGUAAUUAGAAAACAAAGUUAAAAAUAAAUGUUUUCAAA
Long non-coding RNA from Gavialis gangeticus (Gharial), 2990 nucleotides. RefSeq lists it as uncharacterized. Lineage: Eukaryota; Metazoa; Chordata; Crocodylia; Gavialidae. The record is from RefSeq and is a predicted model, not a curated record. The transcript is spliced from 3 exons.